GGUUCGAUCCUGGCUCAGAUUGAACGCUGGCGGGAUGCUUUACACAUGCAAGUCGAACGGCAGCACGGACUUCGGUCUGGUGGCGAGUGGCGAACGGGUGAGUAAUGUAUCGGAACGUGCCUAGUAGCGGGGGAUAACUACGCGAAAGCGUAGCUAAUACCGCAUACGCCCUUCGGGGAAAGCGGGGGACCUUCGGGCCUCGCACUAUUAGAGCGCCGAUAUCGGAUUAGCUAGUUGGUGGGGUAACGGCUCACCAAGGCGACGAUCCGUAGCUGGUUUGAGAGGACGACCAGCCACACUGGGACUGAGACACGGCCCAGACUCUACGGAGGCAGCAGUGGGGGAAUUUUGGACAAUGGGGGAAACCCUGAUCCAGCCAUCCCGCGUGUGCGAUGAAGGCCUUUCAAGUUGUAAAGCACUUUGGCAGAGAAAGAAACGGCACGGGAUAAUACCCCGUGCAACUGACGGUACCUGCAGAAUAAGCACCGGCUAACUACGUGCCAGCAGCCGGCGGUAAUACGUGGGUGCAAAGCGUUAAUCGGAAUUACUGGGCGCAUGCGCAGGCGGUUCGGAAAGAAAGAUGUGAACCUGUAGCUUAACUUUGAACUUGCAUUUUUAACUACCGAGCUAGGAGUGUGUCAGAGGGAGGUGGAAUUCCGCGUGUAGCAGUGAAAUGCGUAGAUAUGCGGAGGAACACCGAUGGCGAAGGCAGCCUCCUGGGAUACCGACGCUCAUGCACGAAAGCGUGGGGAGCAAACAGGAUUAGAUACCCUGGUAGUCCACGCCUCAAACGAUGUCAACUAGCUGUUGGGGAGCCUUCGGGCCUGGUAGCGCAGCUAACGCGUAGUUGACCGCCUGGGGAGUACGGUCGCAAGAUUAAAACUCAAAGGAAUUGACGGGGACCCGCACAAGCGGUGGAUGACGUGAUUAAUUCGAUGCAACGCGAAAAACCUUACCUACCCUUGACAUGUCUGGAAUCCCGAAGAGAUUUGGGAGUGCCGCAAGAGAACCGGAACACAGGUGCUGCAUGGCUGUCGCUGGGGCUCGUGUCGUGAGAUGUUGGGUUAAGUCCCGCAACGAGCGCAACCUUUGUCAUUAGUUGCUACGAAAGGGCACUCUUAAUGAGACUGCCGGUGACAAACCGGAGGAAGGUGGGGAUGACGUCAAGUCCUCAUGGCCCUUAUGGGUAGGGCUUCACACGUCAUACAAUGCACGACAGAGGGUCGCUAACCCGCGAGAGGGAGCCAAUCCUGAAACCCGAUCGUAGUCCGGAUCGCAGUCUGCAACCUGGACUGCGUGAAGUCGGAAUCGCUAGUAAUCGCGGAUCAGCAUGUCGCGGUGAAUACGUUCCCGGGUCUUGUACACACCGCCCGUCACACCAUGGGAGUGGGUUUUACCAGAAGUAGUUAGCCUAACGUAAGGAGGGCGAUUACCACGGUAGGAUUCAUGACUGGGGUGAAGUCGUAACAAGGUAG
This 1475-nucleotide ribosomal RNA is filed under the name uncultured Bordetella sp. RNAcentral describes it as "partial 16S-23S ribosomal RNA intergenic spacer". It matches the Rfam family "Bacterial small subunit ribosomal RNA". The record is from RNAcentral. Lineage: Bacteria; Pseudomonadati; Pseudomonadota; Betaproteobacteria; Burkholderiales; Alcaligenaceae.